Molecule: ribosomal RNA, 369 nt
Filed under: uncultured phototrophic eukaryote
Lineage: Eukaryota
Description: SSU rRNA
Rfam family: Bacterial small subunit ribosomal RNA
Source: RNAcentral
UACGGGGGAUGCAAGCGUUAUCCGAAAUCAUUGGGCGUAAAGCGCCUGUAGGUUGUUUAAUAAGUCUGUUGUUAAAGACUAGGGCUUAACCCUAGAAAAGCAGUGGAAACUACUAGACUAGAGUAUGGCAGGGGUAGAGGGAAUUUCUAGUGUAGCGGUGAAAUGCGUAGAUAUUAGAAAGAACACCGGUGGCGAAGGCGCUCUACUGGACCAUUACUGACACUCAGAGGCGAAAGCUAGGGUAGCAAAAGGGAUUAGAUACCCCUGUAGUCCUAGCCGUAAACGAUGGAUACUAGAUGUUGUGCAUAAUGUACAGUAUCGUAGCUAACGCGUUAAGUAUCCCGCCUGGGGAGUACGCUCGCAAGGGUG